UUUAAUGAGAACUCCGGAUUGGCCUCCUUUGCGCCGCCUCGUGUAGUGCAUUGCGUGGCCGAGAAGUUGUUCAAAUUUGAUCAUUUAGAGGAAGUAAAAGUCGUAACAAGGUUUCCGUAGGUGAACCUGCGGAAGGAUCAUUACUGUACCUUAUGUGUGAAUACACUGUGAACUUGCGCGAGUCGGAACGGUGUGUGUGUUUGCGGCCAGUUCGCGCACACACACAAGUUUACCUUUUCAAACGUACCUAUUGUAGCCAUAAGAACGUGCGAAAGUAUUAAAAAGAGAAAACUGCUGACGGCGGAUCUCUUGGUUCGUGUAUCGAUGAAGAACGUAGCCAGUUGCGAAAAGUAAUGUGAAUUGCAGAAUGAAGUGAAUCAUCGAAUCUUUGAACGCAAAUUGCACUCUUUGGAAUUCCAUUGAGUAUGUCUGUCUGAGUGUCUUGACAAACCUUACACUUUCGGUGUGAACUCGGGCUCCUGGUCUGUCUCCGGACUGACUCGCGCCUGCAAGACCCUACUCGGCAACGCUUGAGACAACAACGUUUGAUCUUAGACAAGCUCCGUCCGAGUCCAACCCAUUCAAUCAUGGACCUCAGAUCAGGCAAGACUACCCGCUGAAUUUAAGCAUAUUAAUAAGCGGAGGAAAAGAAACUAACUA
Molecule: ribosomal RNA, 660 nt
Filed under: Plumularia setacea
Lineage: Eukaryota; Metazoa; Cnidaria; Hydrozoa; Leptothecata; Plumulariidae
Description: eukaryotic LSU rRNA
Rfam family: 5.8S ribosomal RNA (bases 290-443)
Source: RNAcentral